UGGGGAAUUUUGGACAAUGGGCGAAAGCCUGAUCCAGCAAUGCCGCGUGUGUGAAGAAGGCCUUCGGGUUGUAAAGCACUUUUGUCCGGAAAGAAAUCCUUGGCUCUAAUACAGUCGGGGGAUGACGGUACCGGAAGAAUAAGCACCGGCUAACUACGUGCCAGCAGCCGCGGUAAUACGUAGGGUGCAAGCGUUAAUCGGAAUUACUGGGCGUAAAGCGUGCGCAGGCGGUUUGCUAAGACCGAUGUGAAAUCCCCGGGCUCAACCUGGGAACUGCAUUGGUGACUGGCAGGCUAGAGUAUGGCAGAGGGGGGUAGAAUUCCACGUGUAGCAGUGAAAUGCGUAGAGAUGUGGAGGAAUACCGAUGGCGAAGGCAGCCCCCUGGACCAAUACUGACGCUCAUGCACGAAAGCGUGGGGAGCAAACAGGAUUAGAUACCCUGGUAGUCCACGCCCUAAACGAUGUCAACUAGUUGUUGGGGAUUCAUUUCCUUAGUAACGUAGCUAACGCGUGAAGUUGACCGCCUGGGGAGUACGGUCGCAAGAUUAAAACUCAAAGGAAUUGACGGGGUCAUAGCUGUUUCC
Molecule: ribosomal RNA, 584 nt
Filed under: uncultured bacterium
Lineage: Bacteria
Description: partial 16S ribosomal RNA
Rfam family: Bacterial small subunit ribosomal RNA
Source: RNAcentral